GUAGGUGGCAAGCGUUGUCCGGAUUUAUUGGGUGUAAAGAGUGCGUAGACGGGAUGGCAAGUUGGUUGUGAAAUCCCUCGGCUCAACCGAGGAACUGCAACCAAAACUACUAUUCUUGAGUGCUGGAGGGGAAAGUGGAAUUCCUAGUGUAGCGGUGAAAUGCGUAGAUAUUAGGAGGAACAUCAGUGGCGAAGGCGACUUUCUGGACAGUAACUGACGUUGAGGCACGAAAGUGUGGGGAGCAAA
Molecule: ribosomal RNA, 246 nt
Filed under: uncultured bacterium
Lineage: Bacteria
Description: partial 16S ribosomal RNA
Rfam family: Bacterial small subunit ribosomal RNA
Source: RNAcentral